UGGGGAAUAUUGCACAAUGGGCGCAAGCCUGAUGCAGCCAUGCCGCGUGUAUGAAGAAGGCCUUCGGGUUGUAAAGUACUUUCAGUCGGGAGGAAGGUGGUAAGGUUAAUAACCUUAUCAAUUGACGUUACCGACAGAAGAAGCACCGGCUAACUCCGUGCAAGCAGCCGCGGUAAUACGGAGGGUGCAAGCGUUAAUCGGAAUUACUGGGCGUAAAGCGCACGCAGGCGGUUGAUUGAGUCAGAUGUGAAAUCCCCGGGCUUAACCCGGGAAUUGCAUCUGAUACUGGUCAGCUAGAGUCUUGUAGAGGGGGGUAGAAUUCCAUGUGUAGCGGUGAAAUGCGUAGAGAUGUGGAGGAAUACCGGUGGCGAAGGCGGCCCCCUGGACAAAGACUGACGCUCAGGUGCGAAAGCGUGGGGAGCAAACAGG
This 429-nucleotide ribosomal RNA is filed under the name Chloroflexota bacterium. RNAcentral's name for it is "Chloroflexi bacterium partial 16S ribosomal RNA". It matches the Rfam family "Bacterial small subunit ribosomal RNA", at positions 355 to 776 of the family's 1533-position model. The record is from RNAcentral. Lineage: Bacteria; Bacillati; Chloroflexota.